RNAcentral lists this transfer RNA (65 nucleotides) under Dipodomys ordii (Ord's kangaroo rat). It matches the Rfam family "tRNA". From Rfam's summary of the family: Transfer RNA (tRNA) molecules are approximately 80 nucleotides in length. The record is from Rfam by way of RNAcentral. Lineage: Eukaryota; Metazoa; Chordata; Mammalia; Rodentia; Heteromyidae.
GGUGUAGCCCAGUGGUAGAGCAGUUGCCUGGCAAACAUGAGGAUCUGGGUUCAAUCCCUAGUACC